RNAcentral lists this transfer RNA (107 nucleotides) under Nanobdellota archaeon. RNAcentral describes it as "tRNA-Ile". It matches the Rfam family "tRNA". Rfam says of the family: Transfer RNA (tRNA) molecules are approximately 80 nucleotides in length. Their secondary structure includes four short double-helical elements and three loops (D, anti-codon, and T loops). The record is from RNAcentral. Lineage: Archaea; Nanobdellati; Nanobdellota.
GGCCCCGUUGCUUAGCCUGGUUAGAGCGCUGCUCUUAUAAAGCAGAGGUCCCGGGUUCAAAAUUGAUGUACUAAAAUAGUAUGUUGAUGUGUCUCCCGGCGGGGCCA